UGGUCACAUAUUGCAUUAGAUUUUGUUACAGGACUCCCAGACUUAGCAGGAAAGACUACUAUACUUACCAUAGUUCACAGAUUUUCCAAGGCAGCACAUUUCAUAGCUCUAGAUAAACUGCCCACUGCUUCAGAAACAGCUAAACUGUUGGUUGAACAUGUUUUCAGGAUCCAUGGGAUCCCUAUGGAAAUAGUGUCUGACAGGGGUCCCCAGUUUGCCUCUCAGGCCUGGGGAGCCUUUUGUACGGCCCUGGGGGCCAAGCCCUGUUUGAGCUCAGGCUACCAUCCACAGACCAAUGGCCAGACUGAGCGCCUAAACCAAGAACUCGAGACCACUCUUCGCUAGGGAUGGGUACCGGUGUCCGGUGCCAUCAUGGCACCGGUUCUGACAUAAACGGCAGUAACCAGACCGAAAAGCAGCGCACAUUUCGGUGCUUUAUUUCGGUGCUUUUUUUUCCUGAGCUGUGAUACACUUCUAGCCAAUCAUUUUACGUUUCGGAGGAUAGUAGGCGGGGCCAGGUACGUACAUUCAGUUAGAGCAGAGCUACAGAUUAAAAAUGUCCAAGGCGAAGCGGUCAAAAGUCUGGCUGUACUUCACAGCAAAAGAUGCAAACUCAGCAGCCUGCAACAAGUGCUUUAAGCUGAUACUGUGAUACUGUCAAAGGAGGUAACACCAAGAAUCCGAUUAAACAGCUGGCGACGCAUAGCUUUUUUUUAAAAGCCGAGAAAUGCGCCGUAUUUGAUAGCUUGCUGCGAGACCUCACAUCGUGCACGUCGGGUGGGUUGCCAGUUAUCGGACCCGGAGCAACAUCCCCCAAAAACCCGAAGAAUAGAGUCCUGGCCCCUAGCCCUGCCAGUGUAGCAGAAAUGAUGACGGAUGAUGAUGGCAGCAGCCGUUCUUCUCUGCGUGAGUAGCUUAAUGUUGUUCGAGUGUAAUUUACGUUGAGUAGGCUAACCACGUUAUUACAUUAAUGCAUGUAAGGUGAACUAGCAAACAUCAUCAUAGCUACAUGCGGCUGUCUUCUUGUUUGAUGGCAGAUACUCCCUUCACCCUGGCCAAAAAGGCUAAAAUGACCAAAGAAAAAGUGGGAAACAGUUAAACAUGAGAGGUUUUUGGACAAAGUUUGUGUUUUUUCCAUUGUUUAAGCACUGCUUCCAGCCAAGAGUGAUACCAUAUAUUCUCCAUAGCUGCAGAAAAGGCUAACAUUGUUAUCUUUUUACAAAAAACAGCUGAACAUGAGAGGUUUUUGGACAAAGUUUGUGUUCUCCAUUCUUUAAGCACCGGUUCGAGCACCGUUUAAGCACCGGCACCGUUUCAAAAGUACCGAUUUGGCACCGGUAUCGGAUAAAACCUAAACGAUACCCAUCCCUACUCUUCGCUGUGUUACUGCCCAUAAUCCAGCCUCUUGGUCCACAUUCUUACCGUGGGUUGAAUAUGCACAUAACACACUCACCACGUCAGCCACGGGUCUUUCACCUUUUGAAGCAUCCUUAGGUUACCAGCCACCUCUGUUCCCUGAGCAGGAAGCCGAGCUUGCUGUGCCUUCUGUCCAGCAUCAUCUACAGCGUUGCCGCCGGGCCUGGACGCGGACUCGUGAGGCGCUGUUG
Long non-coding RNA from Astatotilapia calliptera (eastern happy), 1607 nucleotides. The record is from Ensembl. Lineage: Eukaryota; Metazoa; Chordata; Actinopteri; Cichliformes; Cichlidae.